RNAcentral lists this ribosomal RNA (300 nucleotides) under uncultured Clostridium sp. RNAcentral describes it as "bacterial SSU rRNA". It matches the Rfam family "Bacterial small subunit ribosomal RNA", at positions 496 to 795 of the family's 1533-position model. Lineage: Bacteria; Bacillati; Bacillota; Clostridia; Eubacteriales; Clostridiaceae. The record is from RNAcentral.
GCAAAUUCCGGGACGUGCGCGGGGGUAAUACGGAAGGGAGAAACGUUGUUCUGAUUGACUGUGCUUAAAGCGACCGCAGGCGGUUUAUUAAGUCAGAUGUGAAAGCCCCGUGCUCAACAUGGGAACUGCAUUUGAAACUGGUAAACUAGAGUUCGAGAGAGGAAAAUGGAAUUCCAAGUGUAGAGGUGAAAUUCGUAGAUAUUUGGAGGAACAUCAGAGGCGAAGGCGAUUUUCUGGCUCGAUACUGACGCUCAGGGUCGAAAGCGUGGGGAGCAAACAGGAUUAGAUACCCUGGUAGUC